This is a long non-coding RNA of Populus trichocarpa (black cottonwood), 804 nucleotides long. RefSeq lists it as uncharacterized. NCBI's taxonomy places the organism in Eukaryota, Viridiplantae, Streptophyta, Magnoliopsida, Malpighiales, Salicaceae. The transcript is spliced from 2 exons. The record is from RefSeq and is a predicted model, not a curated record.
GCCAAUUAAGGAAAAAUCUUCAGCAACCCUCUAUUCCCUUCAUCAUUCUCAGCCUUUCUUUGCCAGAUUUCAGCUAAAGAAACAACCAUGUCUCCAUCUUUCAUCUAUUCAUAUUUCUCUCCCUUCACUGCCAAUCAUCAUAGCAUUAUCAACCACCACAAAACACAUUUUUCUCCUCACAACUCUCCCACAACAAAGCACAACCCAAACCAGUUACCACCGCCUUCUACCGAUCAGCUCCACCAAAACCCAUCCAAAAAUGGCAUCGCUAUCAACAAACAAUGAUGAUAGCAGUAGCAGUAGAAAAAGCACGUGAAGAGAGAAAGAAAACAAAAAAACCAGAAAUUUCCUUGGCCCGAUUUCCCUUCUCAAGUGGCGGUGGACUUCAUCACCGGAGUAGGGAGGAGAAACGAAGAAGGCAUUCCUGAGCUGAAAAGAGACGCGCCCCAGUAGUGGUAGAGUGUACUCCCGCACGUCGAAAAUAGUGACAGCACGUUAAGCCACGCAACUUCAUUGUUCCAGUCCAAUUCCAACAGUCUUCGGCCUAAGUUAGCAGCUCUCGAAGGGUUGGGAACUGUGUUUUUGCAUGGAAAACCGGGGGUAAGAAGCCGUCGAGGAUUUAUCUUUCAAGCUAUGAUUAUGUUGGGAUUAAUAAUUGUGUUGGGAGGAUGAGUUUGAAUUAUCCAAGGUAUAAUUUUUUAACUUUAAUGGAAAAAUUCUACUUGUGAAUGUGUACAUUUGGUUUAUUGUAAAAUUUGUGCUUUUAUUUUAUUUCAACGAUAUGAUCAUAUGUUAUUUUUUUAA